This is an RNA transcript of Ziziphus jujuba (common jujube), 1787 nucleotides long. It is a transcript of the gene named L-Ala-D/L-amino acid epimerase, with no coding region annotated. The transcript has 8 exons. Lineage: Eukaryota; Viridiplantae; Streptophyta; Magnoliopsida; Rosales; Rhamnaceae. The record is from RefSeq and is a predicted model, not a curated record.
GGAUGUAAGUGGAAAUUUUCCUUUUCUCUCUCUUCCUCCAAUAAUGGCAGCUCUGUUUCUCUCUCUCUCUGUGGCCCAGAAGUCUGAAGCCACAUUACCGUAAAAGUAAAACUAACAAAUGUUCAACAGCUACCCAGAAUUGUACCAAGUAAAUAAAAGAAAGAAAAAAAAGCUAGAAGCUCUUCAAAUCUGAAAGACUGAAAUGGCACUGCUCGGCUCAGUUCUCUGCCCAUCAACUUCUCUAUUUUCCUCACAUCCCAAGCAAAAACCUUUAAGAAGCUCGAGACCCAGAAAACCAUUUUUAAUGACUUGUGUAUGUGCCAGCUCCAAUGGCAGCAACCUUAUGGCAGUGUCAGAGGUCUCUACAGAUGAAACGACAAGUUUUGGGUUCAAAAACUUGACUCAGACUUUCUGGGUCGAUGUACAGAGAGCACAAGAGAAGCCAUUAAAUGUUAAGCUCGGUGAACCUAUAAACAUAGGUUCUUCUCGGAUAGAAAUGGUGGAAAAUGUGGCGAUUAGAGUUGAACUGAGUAAUGGUUGUGUGGGUUGGGGUGAAGCUGCGGUGACCGUGAAGCCACGGGCAAUGGCUCUUGCCAAGGCAAAGGAGGUUUCUGAGUUUCUUCGGCGCAGUUCACCAAUGACUUUGAAUUUGGUGCUUGAGGAGAUUUCCGGCAUCCUUCAUGGCCAAGAAUUUGUUUCUGUUAGGGCAGGAUUUGAAAUGGCAUUGAUUGAUGCAGUUGCUAAUAGCAUUGAUGUGCCUCUAUGGAGAUUAUUUGGUGGUGUAUCAAAUAGUUUGACCACUGCUGUAACAGUUCCUUAUGUUUCCCCACCUGAAGCAUUAAAGUUUGCUUCAAAGUUUUGUGAAAAAGGAUUCAAUACCAUGAGGUUUAGGAUGGGAGAGAAUCUAAAUUCUGAUUUGGAAGUCAUUAAAGCGAUACGAGUAGUUCACCCCCAUUGCUCAUUCAUCUUGGAUGCAAAUGAAAAGUUCACUUCCAAAGAAGCCAUUAUAGUUCUUGAGAAGUUACAUGAUAUGAAUGUCAGUCCUGUUCUAUUUGAACAACCAGUUCACAGAGAUGACUGGAACGGUCUUGCUGAUGUUAGUGGUAUUGCAAGAGACCAAUUUGGAGUAACUGUUGUUGCAGAUGAAAGCUGUCAGACUUUAAAGGACAUUGAAAAAAUUGUACAAGAAAACAUUACAGAUGGAAUUAAUAUCAAACUAGCUAAAUUCGGAGUGCUGGGAGUGCUCCAAAUAGUUGAGGUUGGAAGAAGAUCAGGCUUGAAUCUUGUAAUUGAUAGUAUGGUCGAGACUAGACUUGGUACAGGCUUUGCUGGUCAUCUGGCUGCAGGACUUGGCUGCUUCAAACAUGUAAAUCUAGAUGCACCUUUUAAGUUGUCAGAGGAUCCAGUUUUUGGAGGCUAUGAAGCCUCUGGUCCUGUUUACAACUUCACUAAUUCUAGAGGUCAAGGAGGUUUCCUCAAAUGGGACAUUAUUGCCUGAAACCCAGCAAGUUGCAACUCUAAAAGUUGCAAAGUACCAUGGUCUAAUGUAGAUACUGAGGUAACUUUUCUCAGGUUAUAAGAAACCUGUCUUUUAGCUCCUUGACGGUUGCACAACGUACAUAAACUACUCGUUGAUUUGUGUAACCAGGAUUUGGUUUUUGAUCUUUUUGAGUCUAAUUGUAACAUCAAUCAUAUUGAGCCUCUCCUCUGGUAAAUCUUCAGAACACUCCAGUGCUAAUUCCAUGAUUGAUGACAAAAUGCCUUUUAAAGAGUCCAUGAUUAAUAGU